This 512-nucleotide ribosomal RNA is filed under the name uncultured bacterium. Its description in RNAcentral is "bacterial SSU rRNA". It matches the Rfam family "Bacterial small subunit ribosomal RNA", at positions 777 to 1286 of the family's 1533-position model. The record is from RNAcentral.
AAUAGAUACCCGGGUAGUCCACGCCGUAAACGAUGAAUGCCAGCCGUUGGAGAGCAUGCUCUUCGGUGGCGCAGCUAACGCAUUAAGCAUUCCGCCUGGGGAGUACGAUCGCAAGAUUAAAACUCAAAGGAAUCGACGGGGGCCCGCACAAGCGGUGGAGCAUGUGGUUCAAUUCGAAGCAACGCGAAGAACCUUACCAGCCCUUGACAUGGCAGGACGGUAUCCAGAGAUGGAUUCCUUCCCUUCGGGGACCUGCACACAGGUGCUGCAUGGCUGUCGUCAGCUCGUGUCGUGAGAUGUUGGGUUAAGUCCCGCAACGAGCGCAACCCUCGCCCUUAGUUGCCGUCAUUCAGUUGGGCACUCUAGGGGGACUGCCGGUGAUGAGCCGAGAGGAAGGUGGGGAUGACGUCAAGUCCUCAUGGCCCUUACGGGCUGGGCUACGACACGUGCUACGAAGUGGCGGUGACAGGAGGGAUGCUACUUCGCAAGGAGAAGCCAAUCCCAAAAGCCGU